CUUGGCAGUGCCAAGUGGUUGGACUCUGCCCAACUAGGACUAGAAUGCAGAGGUACCUUGCCAUGUACCAUUGAUGGGUCCUACCAGCUCCACCAGGUUGCCUCAGAGAACAGCACAGACAGUUUCCACCAGCUGCUGAAGCAAGCACUCUCCCAACAUUCAUGGAGGGGUCCAGUGCUGGUUGAGGGGGGCGUCAUCGUCUCAAAGAGGGCCACUUGGACUCCAUUAGACUGCUUCUGGUGUACGGUGGCACAACCGAGCAAUACCCCCGACUGUCCCCACUUUGCUCCACCUGACCAGACACAGGGUGGUGGGGCUGGUACACGCCCUCUGGCUACCCCAAGUCCAGCACCUCUGGAUACCACACACUCAUUGAAAAUGUACACACAGCGAGAUGUUGCCAAAUGAUGACAUCAUUAUAGUGGCAGCUGUAAGCCUCUUCAUGCUAAUAGUACCACAGAAUGUGAAACUGAGUAUAUUAUGUUGUUAUACUUUGUUGAUUAUAGGUUGUGUCUAACACAAUCGCUUUUUGUACAGUAUAAUUAUAGAUACAUGUAUUUAACAUUCGACAAUCUUUAAUAAUUGCUCCCUG
Long non-coding RNA from Halichondria panicea, 592 nucleotides. RefSeq lists it as uncharacterized. Lineage: Eukaryota; Metazoa; Porifera; Demospongiae; Suberitida; Halichondriidae. The transcript is spliced from 2 exons. The record is from RefSeq and is a predicted model, not a curated record.